UACGUAGGGGGCGAGCGUUGUCCGGAAUUACUGGGCGUAAAGGGAGCGUAGGCGGUCUUUUAAGUUAGAUGUGAAAUACCCGGGCUUAACUUGGGAGGUGCAUCUAAAACUGGGAGACUUGAGUGCAGGAGAGGAAGGUGGAAUUCCUAGUGUAGCGGUGAAAUGCGUAGAUAUUAGGAGGAACACCAGUGGCGAAGGCGACUUUCUGGACUGUAACUGACGCUGAGGCUCGAAAGCGUGGGGAGCAAACAGG
Molecule: ribosomal RNA, 253 nt
Filed under: uncultured bacterium
Lineage: Bacteria
Description: partial 16S ribosomal RNA
Rfam family: Bacterial small subunit ribosomal RNA
Source: RNAcentral